GCAAAUGCUGGGAACGGGAAGAGUAGGUCCUUGUGCCUGCCUAUAAGAGAGGAAAGGUCAGCGGCUGAGAGCCUUUCCAGGUUAGGAUGGACUGAAGUGCGCCCGGGAGCAGGUGGGCUGAAUCGAAAGCAAAAGGACUCACGAAGUAAGUCCACCCGGUUAGGCACCGUUAGAGCUAUCGAGGAGGGACACGAAUGUGUCCAAACAGAGUGGAACCGCGGGCUUGCCGUCUCUGUA
RNAcentral lists this non-coding RNA (237 nucleotides) under Syntrophothermus lipocalidus. Its description in RNAcentral is "T-box sequence". It matches the Rfam family "T-box leader". Rfam says of the family: Uncharged tRNA acts as the effector for transcription antitermination of genes in the T-box leader family. Lineage: Bacteria; Bacillati; Bacillota; Clostridia; Eubacteriales; Syntrophomonadaceae. The record is from RNAcentral.